This is a long non-coding RNA of Mustela lutreola (European mink), 588 nucleotides long. RefSeq lists it as uncharacterized. Lineage: Eukaryota; Metazoa; Chordata; Mammalia; Carnivora; Mustelidae. The transcript is spliced from 4 exons. The record is from RefSeq and is a predicted model, not a curated record.
GGUACGGGGGCGGCCUGGGGUGGCGUGAGCGCGGGGCUGGGAGAACUCCAGACGCUCCGCGGGCCGGCUGCUUGAGGGCGGCUUUUAGGAUCACUUGCUGAGAGCAGAGAAGAGUGAGAGGACCAGUUAUCAGCGUUAAGCUGUCUGCUCUCGCUCCAGAAGGCACUUGUGUGUUCUGCUUACCGACACGGUCAUGGUCAAGCCCCUGAUAUCUGGAGGUCGCAGGCCUGCUGGCUUUUGUGGCUGCUUGAAAUUCUCCUUUACUGCCUACUUUUUGGGAAGAUGUGUGGAGGGCCAUGGCUGACUUGGAUGCAGUUGGAGUCAUCUCACAGCACAUGGAAUACACAAUUUAUCUUGCUUCCUGUCUUGAUAACGACAUCUUGGUUUUCAUGCUGUCUUAGAACAAGUAGAACUUGACUUACAUAGGUAGAGACUGAUGCAAACGGAGAAGUUUGGUGGUUCUCCACUGGCCACAGCUAAGCUAGCAAAAAGCAAAAAGCAGAGCCUGCAUUGGAACCAGGCUUUGUGACUCCAGACCCCAACUCUUCACCCUUGGGCUUCUUGCAGCACGCCUGAUUUCUUGUCACU